GACGAACGCUGGCGGCGUGCCUAAUACAUGCAAGUUGAGCGCCGAAGGUUGGUACUUGUACCGACUGGAUGAGCAGCGAACGGGUGAGUAACGCGUGGGGAAUCUGCCUUUGAGCGGGGGACAACAUUUGGAAACGAAUGCUAAUACCGCAUAAAAACUUUAAACACAAGUUUUAAGUUUGAAAGAUGCAAUUGCAUCACUCAAAGAUGAUCCCGCGUUGUAUUAGCUAGUUGGUGAGGUAAAGGCUCACCAAGGCGAUGAUACAUAGCCGACCUGAGAGGGGGAUCGGCCACAUUGGGACUGAGACACGGCCCAAACUCCUACGGGAGGCAGCAGUAGGGAAUCUUCGGCAAUGGACGAAAGUCUGACCGAGCAACGCCGCGUGAGUGAAGAAGGUUUUCGGAUCGUAAAACUCUGUUGGUAGAGAAGAACGUUGGUGAGAGUGGAAAGCUCAUCAAGUGACGGUAACUACCCAGAAAGGGACGGCUAACUACGUG
RNAcentral lists this ribosomal RNA (497 nucleotides) under uncultured bacterium. RNAcentral's name for it is "partial 16S ribosomal RNA". It matches the Rfam family "Bacterial small subunit ribosomal RNA", at positions 28 to 507 of the family's 1533-position model. The record is from RNAcentral.